ACUUCCCUAGUAUAAACCUUACAAAUGACUUCCAAUCAUUACAUCCUGAUGAGACCUCAGGGGGGAGUA
RNAcentral lists this transfer RNA (69 nucleotides) under Epicrionops cf. marmoratus UMMZ 190478. Its description in RNAcentral is "tRNA-Gly". Lineage: Eukaryota; Metazoa; Chordata; Amphibia; Gymnophiona; Rhinatrematidae. The record is from RNAcentral.